GAUGAACGCUGGCGGCGUGCCUAACACAUGCAAGUCGAACGGAGUCCAGCCUUAGAGCCCUUCGGGUCAAAGAGGGGAAGACUGAGUGGCGGACGGGUGAGUAACACGUGGGCAACCUGGCUCAUAGAGGGGGAUAACAGAGAGAAAUUUCUGCUAAUACCGCAUAAGCACACACUGCCGCAUGGCAGAGUGUGAAAAGAGAAUCGCUAUGAGAUGGACCCGCGUCUGAUUAGCCAGUUGGCAGGGUAAGAGCCUACCAAAGCGACGAUCAGUAGCCGAUUUGAGAGGAUGAACGGCCACAUUGGGACUGAGACACGGCCCAAACUCCUACGGGAGGCAGCAGUGGGGGAUAUUGCACAAUGGGGGGAACCCUGAUGCAGCGACGCCGCGUGAGUGAAGAAGUAUUUCGGUAUGCAAAGCUCUAUCAGCAGGGAAGAUAAUGACAGUACCUGAAUAAGAAGCCCCGGCUAACUACGUG
This 478-nucleotide ribosomal RNA is filed under the name uncultured bacterium. RNAcentral's name for it is "partial 16S ribosomal RNA". It matches the Rfam family "Bacterial small subunit ribosomal RNA", at positions 28 to 507 of the family's 1533-position model. The record is from RNAcentral.